RNAcentral lists this transfer RNA (72 nucleotides) under Camelus dromedarius (Arabian camel). It matches the Rfam family "tRNA". From Rfam's summary of the family: Transfer RNA (tRNA) molecules are approximately 80 nucleotides in length. Their secondary structure includes four short double-helical elements and three loops (D, anti-codon, and T loops). Lineage: Eukaryota; Metazoa; Chordata; Mammalia; Artiodactyla; Camelidae. The record is from Rfam by way of RNAcentral. RNAcentral also lists the same sequence under 1 other name.
GAGGGUAGAGCUCAGUGGUAGAGUGUGUGCCUAGCAAGCACGCCGUCCUGGGUUCAGUCCCCAGCACCUUCA